This 456-nucleotide ribosomal RNA is filed under the name uncultured Sphingobacteriales bacterium. RNAcentral describes it as "bacterial SSU rRNA". It matches the Rfam family "Bacterial small subunit ribosomal RNA", at positions 924 to 1382 of the family's 1533-position model. The record is from RNAcentral. Lineage: Bacteria; Pseudomonadati; Bacteroidota; Sphingobacteriia; Sphingobacteriales.
CACAAGCGGUGGAGCAUGUGGUUUAAUUCGAUGAUACGCGAGGAACCUUACCUGGGCUCAAAUGUAUGUUGACGUAUUCUGAAAGGGAUACUUCUUCGGACAAUAUACAAGGUGCUGCAUGGUUGUCGUCAGCUCGUGCCGUGAGGUGUCGGGUUAAGUCCCAUAACGAGCGCAACCCCUAUCAUUAGUUGCCAUCAGGUCAAGCUGGGGACUCUAAUGAAACUGCCUACGCAAGUAGUGAGGAAGGUGGGGAUGACGUCAAAUCAGCACGGCCCUUACGUCCAGGGCUACACACGUGCUACAAUGGUCGGUACAAAGGGUUGCCAAGCCGCGAGGUGGAGCUAAUCCCAUAAAACCGAUCGUAGUCCGGAUCGCAGUCUGCAACUCGACUGCGUGAAGUCGGAAUCGCUAGUAAUCGUGAAUCAGAAUGUCACGGUGAAUACGUUCCCGGGCCUU